RNAcentral lists this microRNA precursor (205 nucleotides) under Oryza rufipogon (brownbeard rice). RNAcentral's name for it is "MIR812 microRNA precursor family". It matches the Rfam family "MIR812 microRNA precursor family". Lineage: Eukaryota; Viridiplantae; Streptophyta; Magnoliopsida; Poales; Poaceae. The record is from Rfam by way of RNAcentral.
UAUAAGUACAGCCAUGGUUUUCCGCGCCCAACUUUAACCAUCCAUCUUAUUUGAAAAAUUUUUAAAAAAAUUUAAAAACAUAAGUCACGAGUAAAGUACUAUUUAUAUUUUAUCAUCUCAUAACAAUAAAAAUACUAAUUAUAAAAAACUUUCAAAUAAGACGAACGAUCAAAGUUGGGCGCGAAAACUUAUGGUUGCACUUAUA